UGUCACCGCCGGCCGCUGGCUCCGGCGUGUGGGCCCGCAGUGGGACGCGUGGCCCCCGUGGGCAGCACCGGCAGCACAAAGCGCCUCGCACCGCCGUGCCGGCAGUGCCGCUGCUGCCCUGCCCACGCUCGCCCUCUCCGCAACCGCCGCACGCUGUUCCGCACAGGGCGCAGAUAGCUCCUGAGCUCCGCCCGCGGGCUGCGUGUCGUGUCUCGCCGCCUGUGUAACGUCCCCCGCGGGCUGUGUGCGUGUCCCCCGCGGGCUGCGUGUCCCGUUAGGUGCCGCGGCGGGGAGAGGCGCUGAAGGGGGGCGGGAGCGGCGGGGAUCGGGGCUCGCGUCAUUUGGGCGGCCGAGAUCGGCGCCGAUGGGGCUGGGCGGUGAGUCGGGACCUCUGGGGUCCCCCAGCUGGGUUGGGUAACGGCGUGGAGAUGCUGUGGGGCACAGCCAGGGCUUUAACAGGGCUGGGAAAGCGGAGAACGACUGGGGAGCUGCAGCGAUAGCGGAAUGGCGCUCAGGCGGUGUUCGUGCGUCUGGGAACACGGGCCGUGGAGCUGCGGGCACCGGAGGCAUUCGAAGGGAAGUUACACUUUGGCAGUGCUGUCUCCAAAGGCUCCAGAAUGGCUCCGGUUAAAAUCAGCUGUGUGGUGUCCUUCUCCUCCCAGGUGCCUGGGGGCUCCCUCUGGGGGGCUGGGUGUGGGGCUGAUCCCUCUGAGCUGCUGGGGUCUUGGAAGAGGUGGGUCAGGCCAUGACAGGGUGCAGUACUACCUCACCUUGUUAAGCUGAAGGGCAAGGAUUCACAUCAUUCUUGCUCUCUCAAAAUGGGAUGUUGUUCCUGUAGGUUACAGGAGAAUUCCAUGCUUCUCCCCAUGUCCAGAACAAGCUAGAGCUGGAAGGAGGGUGUUUAGGGAGGGGUUGGUACCUGAUGCUGUGUCCCUGGUGUGUGUGCAGGACCCCAAGUACCCCAAGGCAGAGAACCUGCUGAGUGAGGACAGCAUCCAGCCCUGGCUUGGCUGCCCCAAGGCUCACAGCAGGCAGCUGAGUGUGGGGCUGUGACUGCAGAGAGCCAGUCCCAUUGGCUGUGUUGACAUUGACACUUCCCUGUUCCCCACUCCCGUGCAGGAGCCAGGGCCACGUCCCACAGUGGGGUCAGCAGCUCUGAGCCCCCUUGCCCCUGUCCUUCUCGCUGCUCCCCAGGGAACUACAGCUGUGACUUUCUGCAGGCUGAGGUGGGAUGCUCCUCAUGGCCCUGUGGCCAGCCCUGUCACACCUUGGUGCCUACUGAUGACACCAGCUGACUCAAAGCUGGACCAGAAUCGCUGCAAGGUUCAGAUGUUUUAGGAAGGUAAGGAUUGAUCCACAGGAAAAGGGCAUGGAGAAGAGCUGUGGGCCUGAUCGUGGGAUGGAGCUGAUUAGGGGGGAUGGUGAUGGAAUGGGGCUGCCAGUAGGAUGAGGCUGAUAGGAGGGUGGAAGGACAGGUAGGGAAGAGGACAGGUAGACCAGGGGUUAGGAUUGUUUAUGGGCUCAAGAAAGCUGUACCAGCUCUGCUUCCCUGCCCUCUCUUGUGCCCAUAAUCCCCCACAUGUCCUGGGUGGCACAGCAACAGAGCAACAAGCAGAGGCAGGAGUGCUGUUGGGCCAGUGGCCAGUGCUCUUCCCCACAGCAGAGCUCAGAGCCGACCAUGGGGCAGACAGGGACCACAAGCUGUGACAGCUGCAGCUGGUCUGGAGCUGCACAGUUAAAAUUGGCCAUAACAGACCCCAACUUGACCAGCCUGGUAGAUUAAAGAGUAGAGGUAAACAAGUCCCUGGGUAAGACAGUGAUAAGUAGGAUUUGAACUCCAGCAGGGGAGCCCAGCCAGUCCCAUUCAAUCUUGAAUGCAGACAUCAGCUGGCCAGUGAGCUGGGUGGUGUUGAGACCCGAGCCAAUCAAAUGUUCAAGUGCAGGAGUUCUGAAGCCCCUAUAAAAGGGGGUGCCCACCAAUAAACUUUGUCUCUUGUUGCAGGAACUCAGUGUGUUCGGUGUUUGCUUGUGUUCUUUUGUGUCUGAUAGCAACACUCUCCUGCAAGGCUGCCCCUCCCUAUCCCCAGGAGAUCCAGGGAGGAGAAGCAACUGAGGAGCCGCCUGUGGAAGCUGGAUGGGGCUGCCUGGAGCCCAGCCCACCUCAGCCACUCUGCCUGGAUGGAGCUGUUGACAACACAGAAACAGAACCAGGCACUGAGGCCCAGAGCAGGCAUGAGCACCCUGGGGCGUCACCUGGAGCUGCUGGCCAAGGAUGUGGGAGGUCCUGCAGUGCCAGGUGAGAGCCCACCUGAAGAGCUGCUCCAGCUCUGGGACCCCCAACAUCAGAAGAGUGUGGAGCAACUGGUAUGAAUCCAGAGGUGUCAGAACUCAGUAGAUCCCUCCGGGUGUCCAGAGUUGCCGAGGAUCCCACUGGGGGGCUCGGAGACCUUGGCAUCCUGCCCAGAACACCCGGGGAUUUGAUUUUGACCCUUGGAGCAAGUUGCCAGCUUUGUAUGAGGACGUGAAGGUCACACAGGUUUGAAUAGUGUAAUAACAAAAUGAUCACAGGGUGAAAAUGUAGAUUUUAGGAUUUUUGGUACAGGGGUUAUGGGGACAAGAUGGAGGAAUCUGGGCGUGUCUGACCUUCCUCCUUUUUCUUCUUGUUCUCCAUUUUCUGCUGGGAUGUUGGCACUUUGGGAUUGGUCUAGAGUAGAAAUGCACUGUCCAACAUAGGUGAUAGGUAUUGGGAAUUAAGUGUAAAUAGGAUAUACGUAGUUUGUAGUAUAAAAGGACAGCACCGCCUCGGGGGCGGUCAGAGCGCUCGUGGCUGCCCUGCAGAGCGGAUCUCUGCCAGGCAGAAAGAAAAUUUUAUAGAUAAGAAUUAAUAAACAUCCUCAAGACCGAAAAGUGAAGAGUCCAGACUCGUUCUUCAGUUGUGCAGAGACAUCCUACGCAUCUCGGGGCAGCAAUUACCAACAGCAACCCAAGAUUUGGCAUCCCUGGCUGGGCACGUUCCAAGGGGGCACUGAUAAACCUCUUGGGAAGCAGCCAGAACAGCCUGGGAAGCAGCAGCCACUCUCAAGGCCAUCCAGAGAGCUGCUGCCGAAGGGACUCGUAGCAGAACAGUCCGGAGGGAGCCAGAAGGUGCCCUGGAUCCUCUCUCCUGUGAACUGCUGGCAUUUCCAGCUGGACCUUCAGACUGCCCCGACAACUCGGAUUUGGUAAGAAGGUCAAAAUUAAGAACAUGGGGGGGACGUUCCCAGGAACAGUUAAGGACUUUGUCAGCCUUACAAGGCAUGGCAGAGGCACACCCGAUGGAAAUUUCAAAGAAAGAGCUUAGAGAUCUUUUGCUAUGGGUAUGCUGUAAUUAUCUGUACCAUCUGCAUGGGUGAUGCUGGAAGCAACCUCAGCAAGAUGUGGGCAGGUUGCCGAACAGCAGGUUGCUGAAACUCCCACAGGGGCAGAGGGAGGGGAGCAGAGGCAGAAGCGGAGGGCGGUUCUAGUUCCAAUUGUCCCGGGGAAACAGAAACAGUUCCCAUAAAAGGGGAGCAGGAGGGAACUUCAUCACCUCCGAUUCCCUCAUCACCCCGAAAGCCCACGGGACCUCCAAAACGCCCAGAAUCCCCAGAUACUUCAGGGUUUUCGGGCUCCGACUCAGACACCCUCUCACUCCCGGGGGAGCUCAGGGCUGAAAUUUCCCCAAGCGAAUUCGAGGAAUCGGACUGUGCCAUUUUAGAGGCGUGUCCUCCCGAUUCGCAGGAGCCAAAGGGACACAGGAGAGGGAAAACAGCAGAGUCGGGCCGGGGGGCCGAAGUGGGACCAGAGGGGGCAAAGCUCUCUGGCGGCGGGCGCGGUCCCGCGGGCGGCGG
Molecule: long non-coding RNA, 3869 nt
Organism: Melospiza georgiana
Lineage: Eukaryota; Metazoa; Chordata; Aves; Passeriformes; Passerellidae
Exons: 3
Source: RefSeq, a predicted model, not a curated record